Molecule: ribosomal RNA, 253 nt
Filed under: uncultured bacterium
Lineage: Bacteria
Description: partial 16S ribosomal RNA
Rfam family: Bacterial small subunit ribosomal RNA
Source: RNAcentral
GACAGAGGGUGCAAACGUUGUUCGGAUUUACUGGGCGUAAAGCGCGUGUAGGCGGCUUUGCAAGUCGGAUGUGAAAGCCCACGGCUCAACCGUGGAAGUGCAUCCGAAACUGCAUGGCUCGAGUCUCGGAGAGGAAGGUGGAACGCUUGGUGUAGAGGUGAAAUUCGUAGAUAUCAAGCAGAACACCUGCGGCGAAGGCGGCCUUCUGGACGAUGACUGACGCUGAGACGCGAAAGCGUGGGGAGCAAACAGG